GGGUCAGUAGGUUGGUCGUGCCACCGGUACGUACUGGUCUCACUGAUUCCUCCUUCCUGAGGAACCGUAAUGCCAUUAAUUUGGUGUUGCGGGGAAACAGGACUGUUACUUUGAAAAAAUUAGAGUGUUUAAAGCAAGCUAACGCUUGAAUACAUUAGCAUGGUAUAAUGAAAUAGGACGAUCGAUCCUAUUUUGUUGGUUUCUAGGAUUGACGUA
RNAcentral lists this ribosomal RNA (216 nucleotides) under Glomeromycotina sp. Its description in RNAcentral is "partial small subunit ribosomal RNA". The stretch from base 40 to 216 matches the Rfam family "Eukaryotic small subunit ribosomal RNA", at positions 686 to 864 of the family's 1831-position model. Lineage: Eukaryota; Fungi; Glomeromycota. The record is from RNAcentral.